CGAUAAGCUUCGGGGAGCUGCAAAUAAGCAUUGAUCCGGAGAUUUCUGAAUGAGGAAACUCACCUGGGUUCAUACUCAGGUACAAUACACUGAAAUUCAAAAUAGGUGUAUUGAGGGAACCGCCUGAACUGAAACAUCUAAGUAGGGCGAGGAAGAGACAUCAAACGAGAUUCCGUAAGUAGUGGCGAGCGAACGCGGAAGAGGGCAAACCGAGAGUAGAAAUACUUUCGGGGUACGGACUGCUUUUAAGACUUAAUCUGUUAACCGAACGGCAUGGGAAGGCCGGUCAGAGAGUGUGAGAACCACGUAGGUGAAAA
This 317-nucleotide ribosomal RNA is filed under the name Shigella flexneri 2a. Its description in RNAcentral is "partial 23S ribosomal RNA". It matches the Rfam family "Bacterial large subunit ribosomal RNA", at positions 69 to 385 of the family's 2925-position model. Lineage: Bacteria; Pseudomonadati; Pseudomonadota; Gammaproteobacteria; Enterobacterales; Enterobacteriaceae. The record is from RNAcentral.